Molecule: small nucleolar RNA, 113 nt
Organism: Arabidopsis lyrata subsp. lyrata
Lineage: Eukaryota; Viridiplantae; Streptophyta; Magnoliopsida; Brassicales; Brassicaceae
Rfam family: Small nucleolar RNA snoR9
About the family: snoR9 is a member of the C/D class of snoRNA which contain the C (UGAUGA) and D (CUGA) box motifs. Most of the members of the box C/D family function in directing site-specific 2'-O-methylation of substrate RNAs.
Source: Rfam
AAGAAUGAGGAAGACGAUGAGGAAUUGGAAGUUCUAGUGAUGUGAAAAACUCAGGUGAAGAAGACGAGUUGAAAAAAUUUGACGUUUCGUAUUUCCUUUGAUGAUGAUGACAU